AUUGAACGCUGGCGGCGUGCCUAACACAUGCAAGUCGAGCGGAUGAGGGGAGCUUGCUCCCUGAUUCAGCGGCGCACGGGUGAGUAACACGUGGAUAAUCUACCCAUCAGAUCGGGACAACAGUUGGAAACGACUGCUAAUACCGGAUACGAUCUAAUUUUAUCGUUAGUUGAAAGGCGGCCUCUGCUUGCAAGCUGUCACUGAUGGAUGAGUCCGCGUCUCAUUAGGUGGUUGGUAGGGUAACGGCCUACCAAGCCGAUGAUGAGUAGCCGGCCUUGGAGGGUGAACGGCCACACAGGGACUGGAACACGGCCCAGACUCCUACGGGAGGCGGCAGUGGGGAAUAUUGCGCAAUGGGCGAAAGCCUGACGCAGCGACGCCGCGUGAGGGAUGAAGGCCUUCGGGUCGUAAACCUCUGUCAGGAGGGAAGAAGUGCACGGGUGCUAAUCAGCCCGUGUUUGACGGUACCUCCAGAGGAAGCACCGGCUAACUCCGUGCCAGCAGCCGCAGUAA
This 513-nucleotide ribosomal RNA is filed under the name uncultured bacterium. RNAcentral's name for it is "partial 16S ribosomal RNA". It matches the Rfam family "Bacterial small subunit ribosomal RNA", at positions 30 to 523 of the family's 1533-position model. The record is from RNAcentral.